CAGCCGCCGCGGUAAUACGAAGGUCCCGAGCGUUGUUCGGAAUCACUGGGCGUAAAGGGAGCGUAGGCGGCGUGGUAAGUCAGAUGUGAAAUCCCGGGGCUCAACCCCGGAACUGCAUCCGAUACUGCCAUGCUAGAGGAUUGGAGAGGUAGCUGGAAUUCUUGGUGUAGCAGUGAAAUGCGUGGAGAUCAAGAGGAACACUCGUGGCGAAAGCGAGCUACUGGACAAUAACUGACGCUGAGGCUCGAAGGCCAGGGUAGCGAAAGGGAUUAGAUACCCCUGUAGUCCCUGUCUCUUAUAC
RNAcentral lists this ribosomal RNA (301 nucleotides) under uncultured bacterium. RNAcentral describes it as "partial 16S ribosomal RNA". It matches the Rfam family "Bacterial small subunit ribosomal RNA", at positions 509 to 807 of the family's 1533-position model. The record is from RNAcentral.